RNA transcript from Triticum dicoccoides, 1432 nucleotides. RefSeq lists it as uncharacterized. Lineage: Eukaryota; Viridiplantae; Streptophyta; Magnoliopsida; Poales; Poaceae. The transcript is spliced from 4 exons. The record is from RefSeq and is a predicted model, not a curated record.
GUAAAAGAAAAAAAAGCUUUUCCGCAGUCAUCUUUCCCCCAAGUUUUCCCCACGCCGGCGGUCAGAACCAGAGGAGCCCUCCUCGGGCCGGCGCCUCCCCACGCCGACGGUCAGAACCAAGGAGAGGCUCGCCGGCCUCCCCCGCCGCCGCCAUCAAGGCCCGGAAGCAAUCGCCCGCUCAGCCGAUUUACUGGUCCAGGUCACCUCCGCCGCUGUCACGGCGGGCAGGGCUCCCGUCCAGUCUCCGUCAUGGCCGCCGCCACCUCCGACGCUCCCCGGCCACAGAUUGCAGGUUGGGUCGAAAGGUGCUCGAUGAUUCGCUUCAUAGGACUACUGCUGCUCGGAUUGAUUUCGUUGUUACACAGGGAUAACAUGUUGAUGCUAGAGCUUAAACUCUAAAAUCGGAAAAGGGCGGUGUGUUCAGGAUGUGGUUGAGAGAAUAGUAGUUGGCAGAUACUGGAUUACCUGACCAGAAAGAGUAUCAUGGAAUUGGAUACGGACUUCCCUCAGGUUUUUGCAAUUUAGAUUAGCAAAUCACUUUUACUAUGUACGAAACUGAUCUGUUUCUUCUCAUUUAGGAUAGACGCAGUAAAAAAGAUGUCGUCAUUAUUCUUAUUUUCCUUUGUGACUGAAGAUUAUUCCGUACACAGACACACACACACACACACGCAACUGUGAAGGUAUAUGUGUUUUUUGUUUUUGGACAAGUCAUAUACAUGUUUGACUGGUAAUCAUGAUGCCUUGCUUCCUUUCUUUGCUGAAAUUUUACAACAAUGCCUCUACUAACCUCAUUUCAAUUGAUGAGUACAGACCUUCUGUUUGUUUUUGUGUGUGUUAAAUGGCAUAGGAAUUUCUCCCCUGGAGCUUUCCAGUUCAGAGAACUGAAUUUGACACUCCAAAUCAUAAUACAACAUUCAACAUUACUACGCAAGGGAACUUCAGAAAAUAUUUUCCUGUCCCUGGUAGAAACAGAACUGAAGAUUACACCCUUCAGGUUAGGAAUGGCUGACCGAGAGCAGUGUGCACAUCUCUGAGGCCAAACGAGGUGUUGGAGUCGAGGAUUUGACACAAUUUGGAUCGAAUUACUGCUAUCUAUCCAACCGAUCUUUCUCUCCUCGGCUCUUGGUAGUUCGUCCCUGAGAUUGGUUUUCUAUGCCUAAGAAAGUGGAAUGGAGGGAGUAAUGCCUUGAGGUCUUAUUUAUUAUAAUUAUAGUCAAUGUAGUUCCAUUUUCAUAUUGUAGAGAUGAUAUUCGUUGUGUUACCUUGGGCCUGUAGGGUAUGUCAACCGGCUUUACCUAUGGAACACUUAGUUUAUUCCCAGUACUUUAUCAGCAAUCAUUUUUGUUAAAAGUAACUGUAUGCCACCACAGUGGCAAGAGCUAAUUCUCUUAAUAGGAUACUCUUGCAUUGCUAUGAACUUGGCCUCGGAUCA